AUUGAACGCUGGCGGCAUGCCUUACACAUGCAAGUCGAACGGCAGCACGGGAGCAAUCCUGGUGGCGAGUGGCGUACGGGUGAGUAAUGUAUCGGAACGUACCUUUCAGUGGGGGAUAAACGUAGCGAAAGUUACGCUAAUACCGCAUAUUCUGUGAGCAGGAAAGCAGGGGAUCGCAAGACCUUGCGCUGAUUGAGCGGCCGAUAUCAGAUUAGCUAGUUGGUGAGGUAAAGGCUCACCAAGGCGACGAUCUGUAGCGGGUCUGAGAGGAUGAUCCGCCACACUGGAACUGAGACACGGUCCAGACUCCCACGGGAGGCAGCAGUGGGGAAUUUUGGACAAUGGGCGCAAGCCUGAUCCAGCCAUGCCGCGUGAGUGAAGAAGGCCU
RNAcentral lists this ribosomal RNA (388 nucleotides) under uncultured bacterium. RNAcentral describes it as "bacterial SSU rRNA". It matches the Rfam family "Bacterial small subunit ribosomal RNA", at positions 30 to 417 of the family's 1533-position model. The record is from RNAcentral.